UCUCCGUUGGUGAACCAGCGGAGGGAUCAUUACAGAGUUUUCUAACUCCCAAACCCUUUGUGAACUUACUAUUUUGUUGCCUCGGCGGGCCUCUGAGAUUCGUCUCACGUCCGCCGGCGGCCAAGUUAACUCUUGUUUUUACACUGAAACUCUGAGAAAAAAACACAAAUGAAUCAAAACUUUCAACAACGGAUCUCUUGGUUCUGGCAUCGAUGAAGAACGCAGC
Molecule: unclassified non-coding RNA, 226 nt
Filed under: uncultured fungus
Lineage: Eukaryota; Fungi
Description: sequence contains ITS1, 5.8S rRNA gene
Rfam family: 5.8S ribosomal RNA (bases 178-226)
Source: RNAcentral